GCGAACAGCUCAGUAACACGUGGCCAAGCUACCCUGCAGAGGGGGACCGUCGGGAAACUGACGGGAAUCCCCCAUACCGGUCUCACGCUGGAAUGCCGAGACCGACAAACGCUCCGGCGCUGCAGGAUGCGGCUGCGGCCGAUUAGGUAGUCGGUGGGGUAACGGCCCACCGAGCCGAUAAUUGGUACGGGGUGUGAGAGCACGAGCCCGGAGACGGAAUCUGAGACAAGAUUCCGGGCCCUACGGGGCGCAGCAGGCGCGAAACCUUUACACUGCACGAAGGUGCGAUAAGGGGACUCCGAGUGCGAGGGCAUACAGUCCUCGCUAUUGUGUACCGUAGGGUGGUACACGACCAAGAGCUGGGCAAGACCGGUGCCAGCCGCCGCGGUAAUACCGGCAGCUCGAGUGAUGGCCGAUUUUAUUGGGCCUAAAGCGUCCGUAGCUGGCCCUGCAAGUCCGUCGGGAAAUCCACUCGCCUAACGAGUGGGCGUCCGGCGGAAACUACAGGGCUUGGGACCGGUAGGCGUUGGGGGUACUCCAGGGGUAGCGGUGAAAUGCUAUAAUCCCUGGGGGACCGCCAGUGGCGAAAGCGCUCAACGAUGCCGGAUCCGACGGUGAGGGACGAAAGCCAGGGGCGCAAACCGGAUUAGAUACCCGGGUAGUCCUGGCCGCAAAGGAUGUGGGCUAGGUGCUUGGCGUUCCUCGAGAACGUUAGGUGCCGAAGGGAAGCCGUUAAGCCCACCGCCUGGGAAGUACGGCCGCAAGGCUGAAACUUAA
This 777-nucleotide ribosomal RNA is filed under the name uncultured archaeon. RNAcentral's name for it is "bacterial SSU rRNA". It matches the Rfam family "Archaeal small subunit ribosomal RNA", at positions 81 to 859 of the family's 1478-position model. The record is from RNAcentral.